GAAGAAAUGUAAUUGACUUCAGAGGCCAAGAUCAGGUUUAUUUAUUGGCACCCUUGAACCAAAGUAGGCAAAUACUGUUUUCAUUCACACUAGAUAAAGUCUUAUAGAAGAUGGUAAUAAUACAGUAAUGACACUGCUGGUCUCAUUACGCAAGGUGAACCUCCCAGACGCCAGAAGCAUGAGUCUAGGAGACUUAUGACCUAAUCUGUCCUAUCCUGUCAUUUUGUGGAGAACGGGGUUGGAGAUGUCUACAGAAAGAAGCACAGAACAGCAGUGACCCAAACCUCCACGCCCUCCACUAGGUCACCUAGUGACGUAGCUCUUUAGUUCACUGAAACUGCCCUUUCAAGAGCUAUCAAAGUGUCAGAAGAGAUUCAAGUAAUUUGUUGAUUUAGCAUUUGGUAAUUUGUAAUUGUACUGCAUUUUUUUUAGUUCCAAAACAUUUAGCAAACGUACCCUCCAAGGCACUGUGGAAGGUGGGACAUAAAGACAGUUCCUGUCUGCAAGGAGAUAAACAUCCUGUGAAAGACACAGCAGGUAGCCAGCUAACUGAAGUGAAAGGUCACCUGGAUGAGAAGUGUUGUAAGCAGCUUGCAGAGCACAGGGGCAGGAGAGACUGAAGGAAAAAGGGAAGGCUUUGCAGAAGUGUGGUACUUAAAUGGGGCCAGUCCACCACAGGUUAUGCUGCCUCCUACAGGUGGAAAUGAACCCCAAAUAAUAGCACACAGCCCUUCUCUAUCAAAGACCAUCAGAACAUACAACUUCUUUAAAAAGUGCUUAAUGAGAGAUUCACAAAGGAUAGCUUUCCCUUUGACACAUCUGGCACAGUCAUGAUGGAAAUGCUGAUUGAUGAACUAGCAAAACUUACAAAAGUACAUAGGGAGGAUGUGUGGGAGAAGGAGGAGUGUAAGCUACAUCUCAACCAUGAUUGGAAGUCAAUAAUGUGUAAAGUUGAUAUGUCAAAAAACAGCAGUACAUAUGUAUUAUUUAGAAAUAUGGAGGUAAAUACCAAAAGCAACAGCUUAAUGAGUAAAGCCUUUGGGGACUAAGGCAGUGGGGACAUCGUAAAUCUUGCGUUAUUAUUUGAUUUAAAAAAAUGAUUUAAUAAAAACAAAUUAACUUUCAGAAAGUUGCAAGAAGGCUACACAAAAAACUAAUGGGGGUUACAUCUGUGGAGCUGGAAUAAGGGAAUGAGAGUAGAGAAAGAACGUUAACUUUUUAUUUAACAUGCUCUUAUAUUGUUUCACUAUAAACAUCUGCUAUUUUUAUAAUAUAGUUUUUAUACCUU
This is a long non-coding RNA of Galeopterus variegatus (Sunda flying lemur), 1288 nucleotides long. RefSeq lists it as uncharacterized. The record is from RefSeq and is a predicted model, not a curated record. The transcript is spliced from 2 exons. Lineage: Eukaryota; Metazoa; Chordata; Mammalia; Dermoptera; Cynocephalidae.